UUCCCGCGCCGAUUUCCCGCCCUGCCGUUGUGCGCGCGCGAACCUACCCAUCCAUCCAGCCCUUCCCAUUCACCAUUCAGUCAUUCUAUUCUCCCGUUCCAAAAUUCCCCAUCUCAAACCCUUGCAGCUCGCACCCUACCUACUGGGCGCCGGCGGCGCCCUGCAGCUGUUGCCGGCAGGCACCUCUGCUCCGUGCUGGCGUGCUCCCAAGUUGUCUCCCGGUGGCCGCAACGGUGGGCCGCGGCUCCACUCCCACAGCAACUCUCCCCCUCUUGCUGCGACGGUCAAGAGCAUAGUGCCAAUUUGAUUCGAGGGUCGAGGCCAAGCCUGGUUGAAGGCCUAUCGUGCAUUUGUGGCCUCUCCUCCUGCUGCCCCUUCAGAUCUGCUGCUGAACCAGCAAAGGUUGGAGCAAAAGGUGUAGUGAAGCUGAUAAAUAACCAUGGUUUCAAGAAGGGCAAGGUCAUCGAGAAAUAAGCAACAAGUGCGCCAUCUGAAAAUGGAAGAGAACCAAAUGCUACUGAGACAGAGCCUAAUAUAGAGGCUACUGGUGCAGCUGGUGAUGGAAUUGAGGAGGUGCCUUCAAUAGGAAGAAGGUCGGUCACCAAAAUGAAGCGUCCAAAGAAGAAACUUCACCUGUUUGGAAAUAUUUCACUGAACUGCUUAUUGAAGAAAAGGUGGAUGACAUGGUUGUCCUGAAGAGGAUGGCAAAAUGCAACUUUUGUGAAGAGGUUCUUAGUGCCGAAAGUAAGCAAGGUAUCACGCGUCUAUGGAAUCAUUACCAUUCAUUUCAUGAUGAAAAUAAAGAGAAACCUAACAUUACAAAAUUGAAAGGAGCUGAUUGGAAGUAUGAUGAGGAAACUAGUUUAAGAAAAUACUAUCUGGCAAUUAUUAUGCAUGAAUAUCCAUUCAGCUUCUCUGAGCAUGAGUAUACAAAUGAUUUCAUUAGAUCUUUGUGCCCAAUAUUUCCAAUAAAGUGCCGCAAGACUCAAGGGGCAGGAUAAUGGCUAUUUUUUAUGAUGAGAAAAAGAAACUUUUUGACUAUCUUGCCUCUUAUAAGUGUCGCUUCAGCUGCACCAUGGAUGGGUGGACUUCUAAUCAAAAUAAGGGGUAUUUGUGUGUGACUUGUCAUUUCAUUGAUGAUGAUUGAAAAUUAUAGAAAAGAAUUAUAAAUUUCAUGCAUCUUCGAGGAAGUCAUAGAGGAGCUGAUUUGAGUGUUGCAUACAUGCAA
Long non-coding RNA from Panicum virgatum (switchgrass), 1228 nucleotides. RefSeq lists it as uncharacterized. Lineage: Eukaryota; Viridiplantae; Streptophyta; Magnoliopsida; Poales; Poaceae. The record is from RefSeq and is a predicted model, not a curated record. The transcript is spliced from 3 exons.